Molecule: ribosomal RNA, 415 nt
Filed under: Bacillus sp. (in: firmicutes)
Lineage: Bacteria; Bacillati; Bacillota; Bacilli; Caryophanales; Bacillaceae
Description: bacterial SSU rRNA
Rfam family: Bacterial small subunit ribosomal RNA
Source: RNAcentral
GGAGCACGCCGCGUGAGUGAUGAAGGCUUUCGGGUCGUAAAACUCUGUUGUUAGCGCAAGAACAAGUACGAGAGUAACUGCUCGUACCUUGACGGUACCUAACCAGAAAGCCACGGCUAACUACGUGCCAGCAGCCGCGGUAAUACGUAGGUGGCAAGCGUUAUCCGGAAUUAUUGGGCGUAAAGCGCGCGCAGGCGGUUUCUUAAGUCUGAUGUGAAAGCCCACGGCUCAACCGUGGAGGGUCAUUGGAAACUGGGGAACUUGAGUGCAGAAGAGAAAAGCGGAAUUCCACGUGUAGCGGUGAAAUGCGUAGAGAUGUGGAGGAACACCAGUGGCGAAGGCGGCUUUUUGGUCUGUAACUGACGCUGAGGCGCGAAAGCGUGGGGAGCAAACAGGAUUAGAUACCCCGGUAGAA